Molecule: ribosomal RNA, 253 nt
Filed under: uncultured bacterium
Lineage: Bacteria
Description: partial 16S ribosomal RNA
Rfam family: Bacterial small subunit ribosomal RNA
Source: RNAcentral
UACGAAGGACCCUAGCGUUACUCGGAAUCACUGGGCGUAAAGCGCGCGUAGGCGGUUUAAUGUGUCAGAUGUGAAAGCCCCGGGCUUAACCUGGGAACAGCAUUUGAAACUGUUGAACUAGAGUACAGAAGAGGAUAGCGGAAUUUCCAGUGUAGAGGUGAAAUUCGUAGAUAUUGGAAAGAACACCAGAGGCGAAGGCGGCUAUCUGGUCUGUAACUGACGCUAAAGUGCGAAAGCGUGGGUAGCAAACAGG